RNAcentral lists this ribosomal RNA (253 nucleotides) under uncultured bacterium. RNAcentral describes it as "partial 16S ribosomal RNA". It matches the Rfam family "Bacterial small subunit ribosomal RNA", at positions 524 to 776 of the family's 1533-position model. The record is from RNAcentral.
UACGGGGGGGGCAAGCGUUGUUCGGAAUUACUGGGCGUAAAGGGCUCGUAGGCGGCCAACUAAGUCAGACGUGAAAUCCCUCAGCUUAACUGGGGAACUGCGUCUGAUACUGGAUGGCUUGAGUUUGGGAGAGGGAUGCGGAAUUCCAGGUGUAGCGGUGAAAUGCGUAGAUAUCUGGAGGAACACCGGUGGCGAAGGCGGCACCCUGGACCAACACUGACACUGAGGAGCGAAAGCCAGGGGAGCAAACGGG